AGAACGCGCGGGUCUCUACUUCCUGUAGUGGGCGUGGUUUUCUAAAUAUAUGUAUUACAGGUGAUAUUAGUUCAUCUGCGUAUGCAAUACGACAGUUCGUCAGCGGUGUUUUUUUUUUUUUAUUUUUUAUUAUUUAAUACUACACUGAUCACUUAUUGUACUUCCAGACGGAGAAGGUGUUACCGGAAAUAUCGCGGAAAUGGCGGGAAAACUGAAAGCUGUAGAAAUGAGUUCUAUUUUGCAGAGGCUUAAUAGCAUCAACAGUGUCCUUGACUCCAAUGUGGCAGCACUCGUAAGGAGCCAGGAGCAGCUCGGCAAAGCAGAAGAAACCCAGAAACACUUCAAUAAGAGUCUAAAACCAUUGUUUGAUGCCUUUGUACCACAAGAAGAACCGGCUUCAUCAUCGGCAACGCUUAAGUGAGAAGUCCGAGUUGGAAACAUUUUGGAAAUUGAUUUUCAUCACCCCCCCCCCCCGUUUUUCUUUACAUGGGAAAUCAAAUGUAAUGCUAAUAAAACUAUGUGCACAAGUUGCUCGUGUUACCA
This 543-nucleotide long non-coding RNA is filed under the name Scleropages formosus (Asian bonytongue). Its description in RNAcentral is "lncRNA (ENSSFOG00015026318.1)". Lineage: Eukaryota; Metazoa; Chordata; Actinopteri; Osteoglossiformes; Osteoglossidae. The record is from RNAcentral.